Molecule: ribosomal RNA, 605 nt
Filed under: Stachybotrys chartarum
Lineage: Eukaryota; Fungi; Ascomycota; Sordariomycetes; Hypocreales; Stachybotryaceae
Description: eukaryotic LSU rRNA
Rfam family: 5.8S ribosomal RNA (bases 215-368)
Source: RNAcentral
GGAAGUAAAAGUCGUAACAAGGUCUCCGUUGGUGAACCAGCGGAGGGAUCAUUACCGAGUUUACAACUCCCAAACCCUUAUGUGAACCGUACCUAUCGUUGCUUCGGCGGGAACGCCCCGGCGCCCUGCGCCCGGAUCCAGGCGCCCGCCGGAGACCCCAAACUCUUGUGUUUUUUUCAGUAUUCUCUGAGUGGCAAACGCAAAAAUAAAUCAAAACUUUUAACAACGGAUCUCUUGGCUCUGGCAUCGAUGAAGAACGCAGCGAAAUGCGAUAAGUAAUGUGAAUUGCAGAAUUCAGUGAAUCAUCGAAUCUUUGAACGCACAUUGCGCCCGUUAGCAUUCUAGCGGGCAUGCCUGUCCGAGCGUCAUUUCAACCCUCAGGGUCCCCGUUCCGGCGGGGAACCUGGUGUUGGGGAUCGGCCCGCCCCGCGCGGCGCCGUCCCCCAAAUUCAGUGGCGGUCUCGCUGCAGCCUCCCCUGCGUAGUAGUUACAACCUCGCAUCGGAGCUCAGCGCGGCCACGCCGUAAAACCCCCGACUUUCUGAACGUUGACCUCGGAUCAGGUAGGAAUACCCGCUGAACUUAAGCAUAUCAAUAAGCGGAGGA